Molecule: ribosomal RNA, 252 nt
Filed under: uncultured bacterium
Lineage: Bacteria
Description: partial 16S ribosomal RNA
Rfam family: Bacterial small subunit ribosomal RNA
Source: RNAcentral
UACAGAGGGGCAAGCGUUAUUCGGAAUUAUUGGGCGUAAAGGGCGCGUAGGCGGCUUUGCAAGUGGCGGGUGAAAUCCCUCGGCUUAACCGAGGAACUGCCUGCCAGACUGUGAGGCUUGAGACCGGGAGAGGUGAGUGGAAUUCCCAGUGUAGCGGUGAAAUGCGUAGAUAUCAGGAGGAACACCGGUGGCGAAGGCGGGUCUCUGGGCCGAUACUGACGCUGAGGAGCGAAAGCGUGGGGAGCGAACAGG